RNAcentral lists this long non-coding RNA (393 nucleotides) under Homo sapiens (human). RNAcentral describes it as "non-protein coding lnc-RPS24-3:8". The record is from RNAcentral. Lineage: Eukaryota; Metazoa; Chordata; Mammalia; Primates; Hominidae.
GCCUUUCACCUUCUGCCAUGAUUGUGAGGCCUCCCCAGCCACGUGGAACUGAAGUCACGGGGUGACUCCAAGCAGGGCCCCCUUUGCAUUCAGCCUGCCCUUCUCUCAGCCCAGUCAUGCUGGCACCAGAUGAGCUGCUGCAGACUCAUGAGGAAAGAGUCAAGACAGGCUCUUUGAAACCUCCCUCUCCAGGCAUGCCACGUGAACAGAAGUUCCAGGAGACAGAAGAGAGGGGUGACAAGAAAUUGCCCUGAUCAAACUGCCACAGUGACACACCAUGAAAAACACACAGAGAUUGGCUCUGUGGCAAUGGCAUCAUACCCAGGUCACAGGUGCAAAUUUGGUGCAGCAAAGCAGCAUUAAAUAUUUUGCAUUAAAUUGAUGUUAAUUUGC